AGGAAAGAAAACAAGCGAUAAUUGAUUCAUCACCUCCUCACUCCUGUUAGUCUAUUACUUAGAAACAGAACUCAAAUCCUACUAUUUUAGAAUCAAAAUCCUAACCCCAACCCUAGGUCAGUUUCUCAAUUUGACGACAUUGACUCGCGUUCUGCGUUCCUUUCUCUCGCCAUUGUCCUGGAAGGUUCUUUCGAGUGGAUGCGCCAGCUCCAUGGAGGCUUGCUCGGGCGGCGCGUGUGAGUUUCAUGGUUGAUUGCGGAGGCGCGUUGGUCUCUAAUCUCUCCCAGACAAACGCUUGGAUGGCGUUCAGAAUCAAAAUCAUGAAUAACCCUAAAUCCCUAAUCCCUAAUCCCAUCUGUAACACAAUUUUCCCAAUUUCACAACACUGAUGCGCGCAUUCUGCGUUUCUCUCUGCUCCGCCGAGUUCUGUUUUACUCCACCGUGUUCUUCUGCUCCGCCGUGUUCUUCUCCUCGCAUCGAGUUCUGCUUUGCUCCACCAUGUUCUUCUGCUCGCGCCGAGGAAUUUCAUGUAACUCAAUUAGAUUACAGAAAUGCUAUCUGCAGAUAAAUGUGAGGCAGAGUUGUUAAGCAAGAAAUAUGAGGAGAAGUACAAACAUUGUAGCAGAAAUAACAUCCAAAUUGAUUGUUGAAGAAGCUAAAUUUUGUGAUAUACAGGUAAUUAGAAAUUUGCAUUAUUAUUUGGCAAAUAGUAAAAGAAUUUUAGGGAAGAAUGAAUUGUUAUUAGCCUUGCUU
This is a long non-coding RNA of Arachis ipaensis, 753 nucleotides long. RefSeq lists it as uncharacterized. NCBI's taxonomy places the organism in Eukaryota, Viridiplantae, Streptophyta, Magnoliopsida, Fabales, Fabaceae. The record is from RefSeq and is a predicted model, not a curated record.